UUACACAUGCAAGUCGAACGGCAGCACGGAGCUUGCUCUGGUGGCGAGUGGCGAACGGGUGAGUAAUGCGUCGGAACGUAUCCAAUAAUGGGGGAUAACGCAGCGAAAGCUGUGCUAAUACCGCAUACGCCCUGAGGGGGAAAGCAGGGGAUCUUCGGACCUUGCGUUAGUGGAGCGGCCGACGUCUGAUUAGCUAGUUGGUAGGGUAAAGGCCUACCAAGGCGACGAUCAGUAGCUGGUCUGAGAGGAUGAUCAGCCACACUGGAACUGAGACACGGUCCAGACUCCUACGGGAGGCAGCAGUGGGGAAUUUUGGACAAUGGGGGAAACCCUGAUCCAGCCAUUCCGCGUGAGUGAAGAAGGCCUUCGGGUUGUAAAGCUCUUUCAGGAGGGAAGAAACGAUUAUGGUUAAUAACCAUGAUUAAUGACGGUACCUUCAGAAGAAGCACCGGCUAACUACGUGCCAGCAGCCGCGGUAAUACGUAGGGUGCGAGCGUUAAUCGGAAUUACUGGGCGUAAAGCGUGCGCAGGCGGUUUAUCAAGUCUGAUGUGAAAGCCCCGGGCUUAACCUGGGAACUGCGUUGGAAACUGAUAAACUAGAGUACGGCAGAGGGGGGUAGAAUUCCACGUGUAGCAGUGAAAUGCGUAGAUAUGUGGAGGAAUACCGAUGGCGAAGGCAGCCCCCUGGGUCGAUACUGACGCUCAUGCACGAAAGCGUGGGUAGCAAACAGGAUUAGAUACCCUGGUAGUCCACGCCC
Molecule: ribosomal RNA, 758 nt
Filed under: uncultured bacterium
Lineage: Bacteria
Description: bacterial SSU rRNA
Rfam family: Bacterial small subunit ribosomal RNA
Source: RNAcentral